AUCUUCCACAAUGGUCGAAAGCCUGAUGGAGCAACGCUGCGUGAGUGAAGAAGGUUUUCGGAUCGUAAAACUCUGUUGCAAGGGAAGAACAAGUACAGUAGUAACUGGCUGUACCUUGACGGUACCUUAUUAGAUAGUCACGUCUAACUACGUCCCAGCAGCCGCGGUAAUACGUAGGUGGCAAGCGUUGUCCGGAUUUAUGGGGGGUAAAGCGUGCGCAGGCGGACCUUUAAGUCUGAGGUGAAAGCCCACGGCUCAACCGUGGAGGGUCAUGGGGAACUGGGGGACUUGAGUGCAGAAGAGGAAAGAGGAAUGCCAAGUGUAGCGGUGAAAUGCGUAGAGAUUUGGAGGAACACCAGUGGCGAAGGCGACUUGCUGGUCUGUAACUGACGCUGAGGCGAGAAAGCGUGGGGAGCAAACA
This 421-nucleotide ribosomal RNA is filed under the name uncultured bacterium. RNAcentral's name for it is "partial 16S ribosomal RNA". It matches the Rfam family "Bacterial small subunit ribosomal RNA", at positions 361 to 774 of the family's 1533-position model. The record is from RNAcentral.